Non-coding RNA from Nelumbo nucifera (sacred lotus), 1164 nucleotides. The record is from RefSeq and is a predicted model, not a curated record. NCBI's taxonomy places the organism in Eukaryota, Viridiplantae, Streptophyta, Magnoliopsida, Proteales, Nelumbonaceae.
AAUCACUUUGGCUUCUCCUCCUCCAUUCAGUAUCGAAUCAGUGAGUUCGGCUUCACCUUCUCCUCCAUUCAGUAUCGAAGCAGUGAGUUCGGCUUCACCUUCUCCUCCUCCAGUCAGUAUUGAAGCAGUGAGUUCGGCUUCUCCUUCUCACAAUCAUCGAUUUGGCUAGUUCUUUUGAGAUUUGAGUGGAUAAGAAGAACGAAUCACCUCAAACACAACAACAGCGAAUAGGAUUUAGCGGAUAGGAAGCUGUAAUGCAGAAUGAGGCCAAAGCAAUAUCUAUAGCAGAUUUGAAGAAAGACACUAGAUUAAAAGAAUGGACGCUGGUGCUAGUUUAGGAUUCCAAAUCUCGGAUCUGCAGACUCAACAUCUCUGUCUACGCACAGCUCCGAGAAGCUCCGUUCCAUGGGCCUUUGUCUUCUGAUGUGAGCUAUCCAAUCAUAAUGUGGCGGUCACCUUUAAUGGAUAAAUCAAUCUAGCUCAUUGAUCUACUCAGUGUGAUAUCAAAUGGAGAAACUAACGUUUCAGCUCUCAGAGUUUCCUUAUCCAGAUGGUCUGCAGUAACUAAGUAGGAGUUCCUUUUCAUAAUUUCUGAUUACUCCAUAUCCAGGUGGACCUGGAUUGCCCAAGUAGCAACUAUCAAUGUUGAGUUGUGGAGUUCUUGCUUUUUCUCAUUAAAUACUUUCAUUUCUCUUAUUCCAUAUGCCCGAAAUGAUUGCUGCUCUAUUCCAUAUGCCCUUCUGAUCCAGGUACCUGCACUUGAGUAAAUUGGUGACCCUCCAAGGAGCAUCAGGUGCUUUCUUACGCCUUCUCCUUGAUCAGUUACUCUAGAGGGGAGGCCAUCACAAGUAGUGCCAAAGCUUCAACAGGAGUGGUUUUCUGCAGUAUUGGCAAAUUGGCAACUUUGGAUACCUUUCUAAUUUCUCAACUUUCGAUUUGUUCCGCAACAGUUCCAGAUUGUAGAAGAAAGAGAAUGUAGAUGGUGUCAAGAUGAAAUACAUUUUUUCUUUUCUUAGAGUAGGAAGUGAAUUCUUUUUUGUAUUUUUUAUUCCAUAUUUUUUGUAGAUGGAUUGUUCUUUUCUCUUUGAAUUUGUAUCAAUCAAUAUGAAACAAUAUUCAGAAACAAUGAUUAUCUUUCAAUAGAUAUGUGAAUGAAUUGUUUUA